RNAcentral lists this long non-coding RNA (1029 nucleotides) under Homo sapiens (human). Its description in RNAcentral is "long non-coding RNA NONHSAT152390.1". The record is from RNAcentral. Lineage: Eukaryota; Metazoa; Chordata; Mammalia; Primates; Hominidae.
CUCACAGAAGCCUGGAGCUGGGCAUCCAAGAAGAAGCAGCCUCAUUUGUUUUCUGGUGUCAUCGUAGGUGGCCACCUAUGGCUUUUGGGCUUCUCACCUGGGGCGGGUGGGUUCUGCACCACCCUCCCACCCUCCUUCCUCCGUGUGGACGAUAGAGCCACAUCCAGCACCACGGACAGCUCCCGGGCGAUCCCAUGGGAGUAGAAGAGGUGUGAGCAGGUUGCCCAGCUGGUUAGCGGAAAUGCCAAGAUCCAGGCUCCUGAAUUUCAGCCUGGCCCUUUCUAUCUGUCUGAUACCUCCUUUACGAGUCUCUCUGCCUGCGUUGUGUGGAGCGGGCCUGCUGCUGGUUGGGGGAGUUUGCAGGUUGCCCCUAUGCAAAAAAGGACAGGAUGCAUGACUGGCAUGUAAGGUGUUCAGGAAAACCAGGAAAAGCCUUCAUCUCCUCGUCCUCCAGGCAGCACAAGCCAUUGUGGAAUCUCCACCAGGUGUACAGAACGGUGCCUCUGCGUCCUGCCACUCAGGACCUCUCAAGUCCCCGAUGUGAUGGCUCCUCAGCAUGAUCAGGAGAAAUUCCAUGAUCUUGCUUAUUCCUGUCUUGGGAAGUCCUUCUCCAUGUCUAACCAAGAUCUAUAUGGCUAUAGCACCAGCUCUUUGGCUCUUGGCUUGGCAUGGCUAAGUUGGGAGACCAAAAAGAAGAAUGUACUUCAUCUGGUUGGGCUGGAUUCCCUCUGAUAAGCCUUCCCAGUUGACUGAAAGAUGAGGCUAGGCUCUAGCAAGUUGAAGUCAAACCAGCUCCUUCAAGAAGCUUUGAGCAGAAUGAAGUGGGGAGGACCCAGCUUCCAGCCCAGGAAGCCCACUGUACCUGGAGCCAUCUGGGAUAAGACUUUGACCCAUGACUCCCAUAUCCACAGCCUGUCCAUCCUAGCCCAUCCCAGUUUAUCCUGUAUCAUUUGAGCUGGGAUUCCCACAUCCUCUGAGUUGGAAGUCCCAUCUCAAGUCUUCAAUAAAGACUCUUGAAUAUUGAAUCAC